Molecule: ribosomal RNA, 563 nt
Filed under: uncultured bacterium
Lineage: Bacteria
Description: bacterial SSU rRNA
Rfam family: Bacterial small subunit ribosomal RNA
Source: RNAcentral
CCUACGGGAGGCAGCAGUGGGGAAUUUUGGGCAAUGGGCGAAAGCCUGACCCAGCCACGCCGCGUGAGGGAUGAAGUAUUUCGGUAUGUAAACCUCGCAAAGAAUAGGAAGAAUAAAUGACGGUACUAUUUAUAAGCUCCGGCUAACUACGUGCCAGCAGCCGCGGUAAUACGUAGGGAGCAAGCGUUGUUCGGAUUUACUGGGCGUAAAGGGCGCGUAGGCGGCCUGACAGGUCACUUGUGAAAUCUCCGAGCUUAACUCGGAACGGUCAAGUGAAACCAAUAGGCUAGAGUGCAGAAGGGGCAAUCGGAAUUCUUGGUGUAGCGGUGAAAUGCGUAGAUAUCAAGAGGAACACCUGAGGUGAAGACGGGUUACUGGGCUGACACUGACGCUGAGGCGCGAAAGCCAGGGGAGCAAACGGGAUUAGAUACCCCGGUAGUCCUGGCCCUAAACGAUGAAUACUUGGUGUCUGGAAUUAUUAUUGUUCCGGGUGCCGUCGCUAACGUUGAAGUAUUCCGCCUGGGGAGUACGCACGCAAGUGUGAAACUCAAAGGAAUUGACGG